Triticum dicoccoides is the source of this 1849-nucleotide long non-coding RNA. RefSeq lists it as uncharacterized. The transcript has 6 exons. The record is from RefSeq and is a predicted model, not a curated record. NCBI's taxonomy places the organism in Eukaryota, Viridiplantae, Streptophyta, Magnoliopsida, Poales, Poaceae.
GCGAUAGACCUGCGCGACUGCGCCGGCAUCCUGCCCUCUCUCCUCACUCCCCCCUCCCGCGAACCCUAGCUGCUCUGUGCCGCCGCCGCCGCUCUCCGGAUCUGUAGCUCCGUUUUCGCUAGCCUCUGUUGGUUCCGGAUCUGACCGCUCGCCGUCCGUCGUUGCCACCGCGGCCGCCAUAGGAAAGGGGGUGGCUAGAGUUUGGUGCUACUGUCUGUUCCUAGUUCGGCCGUGGUCGUCUUUCUCCUGCAUUUCAGUUUCAGCAAUCUAACAUCUUAGAAAUCUCAAAAUGGCAUCCAAGUAUCCUAUGUUUACUGCUGACCAUACAGGAGCUGCAUCAUCAUCGUUGGUUUACGAAAAGUAUGAGAGCACUGAAGGCAAUGUUUUCAAGGAUGAUGCAAUUGACGUGAAGAGUUACAUACAGAUAAGGCAUGCGGUUGCUAUGGCGCCUAACAGUGCAGAGGCGGAGGGUAAAAUGGAGAUUCCAGGUGAAAUUGUUAACAGUAAGAGUGUAAGACCUACAGGACUGCUACAGAAACUGGGAAGAAAAUUGGUAGAACAAUUCUCAAAGGAAUGCGGAAGAGUGAGCUUGCUGGUCUGUGUUACACUGAUUUCAGCAUUGCAGACGUUUUUGUCAGUACAUCUGGAAAGGCCAAGCUGAAAGGAGUCCGGCGCAUCAAGUUUUGUAUGACGCAGCAAUUUAACAACUAUGGCGCAGUGUGUGCAAUCAUGACGGAGCUAUUUACACUGAAUGGGCAGAUCCCAGCGGAAAUUCAACGUCUGAUUAAUCUCAUGCGAACAAGGUUUGACUUGAGAUUCAUGUAUCAUCUUCACGGAUCUUUAGUGCCCAUUGCUCGUUCUACUCUUUUGUACAAAACACUAUAUGAGCAGCUAGAGAUAUCCACUAUGGACAAAGCAAGAAAGGACGUGAUUCUUUUGGGUCUCCCUCUCUUGUCUCAGUGGAAGGGGCUCGUAGCCACGAACUGGCUACUGAAGUGCACAUUUGACCACAAGCAGAAAGAGUACAAUGAUGGUUUGGGCAGAUAUACACGUCCCCCCCUCCCUCUACAAGCAACUGCAAGGCAGAAACUUGAUAGAAAGCUGCUGGAGGCCCAGGACUUCCUCGACUAUCUCCGAAACAGAGGAGCGCACCGGAUGGAAUAUCUAGGACAUUUCUAUACACGGUCUCGGAAGAAGUACACGGCUGAUGGCUCGGACAGGGCUUGUGAGGUUCGUUUCGCGGAAGUAACAUGUUACUUGCAGGAACAACUGUCUGACCAGAUCCAGCAGAUGAACACCAGCGAAAUUGUUUGAUUGAUUGUGUGAGCAGUGUGAAACAUGGAAACAGCUAACAAUGCUGAGGCUUCAUAUCCAGAGAACUGUCUUGGGGCCGUGUGGUGACUUGUCAGGAAUUGGGCGCAUCUUCGUGUGAACUCAACUCUUCAUUUCUGGGUCACUGCUUACCUACUGCACUGCCAUCUCGAAGCUCAGAUUACCUUUGCUUUGGAUGAGACUUUAUCUAACGUUUGAUGCUAUAUUUCCAAGUGUCAUUUGGAUUUGGUGAUAUUCAGCGAAGCGAACUGUUAAAAUUGUGCUUACUUUGGAUGACCUAUCAUUUUGGUCGUAUUCAGUAGUAUUCGUCGCAUUUGUACUUUCACCUUGUUCUGUCUUGCCUCGGUAAUUUGCAGGUCCUACCACUGAUCGAUCGUUGAACAUCUGAUUUGGUUAUUUAUCGCAUUAAGCCAAUCUUCUGCAGACAAUUGGGUACACAUAAUGUUCAAAUUGUAAACCACCUGUGUAGGUUCAAAUUGGAGACUGUUUGUAGCAUGAAACUGUUUUCUUUUUGUUC